AGGCCAUGGUGUGGGCAUUUUCUCAUUAACUCUUUCAUCCUCUCCCAAGCCUCAUGAAUUUGUUCACCCGGUGUUUGGGUGAAUCCCGUGAUAGCUCUCGUCAUAGUAU
Non-coding RNA from Nelumbo nucifera (sacred lotus), 109 nucleotides. The record is from Rfam. NCBI's taxonomy places the organism in Eukaryota, Viridiplantae, Streptophyta, Magnoliopsida, Proteales, Nelumbonaceae.